Non-coding RNA from Paramuricea clavata, 1124 nucleotides. Lineage: Eukaryota; Metazoa; Cnidaria; Anthozoa; Malacalcyonacea; Plexauridae. The record is from the annotation of a GenBank genome assembly.
GCAACAGACAUUCAACCGUUCAUAGUCAGUUUUAUUAUAUAUAGUAGAGAGUGAGAUACUGAAAAAUACACAGUGAGAUAUUUUCCGUAUCUUCACUAGUGAAGAUAUCGAUCACGUGACUUUUAGUAUUUAUACAAUUUUUUGCUUGGGACUAUACAGGGUGUAUCAAAAAAAACUGAACAGAUUUGAAAUUGCUCUCAAUUUCGCAAAACACCUAUUUGUAUCUGAUUUUUUAUAUAUAUAACUUCUUUGGGUACUUAUAAUGUAAAAUAAUGAAAAAAAUUUCCCGAACUCAAAUUUUGUGAACCAGGGGGGUGUGUCUUUUCCAACAAACUAAAAAUGGCUCGCGCACAAAAUUUAAAAGCUGUAAUAAUAUUUUGAGUUGAUAGAUUGAAAAUUUGUCGGGUUUUUAAUUACUGUACAAAAUUUCAGACAAUUUGGUUUAGUUUAAGCCCCUUUAACUAUUCAUUUUGUUCUAAAAAGUCAGCCUUUCGCAUGCUUAAUUAAUGCCUUUACCUAAUUUGCAUAUUGUUGACAUAUGCAAAUUAGGCAAAUGCAUUAAUUAAGCAUGCAAAUAGCUGAUUUUUCGGGAAAAUUGUAACUUUGCGUAAAUAGUUAAGGGGCUUAAACUAAACCAAAUUGUCUGAAAUUUUGUACAGUAAUUAAAAUCCCGACAAAUUUUCCAUCUGUCGACUCAAAAUAUGAUUGCAGCUUUUAAAUUUUGUGCGCGAGCCAUUUUUAGUUUGUUGGAAAAGACACACCCCCCUGGUUCACAAAAUUUGAGUUCGAGAAAUUUUUUUCAUUAUUUUACAUUAUAAGUACCCAAAGAAGCUAUAUGUAUUAAAAAACAGAUACAAAUAGCUGUUUUGCAAAAUUGAGAGCAAUUUUAAAUCUGUUCAGUUUUUUUUGAUACACCCUGUAUAAUAAACAGAACAUUACACGUUGGCUUGAAGAUAUGACUUUUAUCUUCUCGUGUUAUAAAAACAAUAUUUUACUCACUCUGCGCUCGUUCGUAAAAUAUGUUCUUUUCACCACUCGAAGAUAAAAAGUCUUAUUAUAUACACAAGGUCUGGAUAUGAGGUAUUCUGCAAUCCGAUUGGUUCUCUACUAGCAGGAUAUUAGCU